Rhipicephalus microplus (southern cattle tick) is the source of this 72-nucleotide non-coding RNA. Lineage: Eukaryota; Metazoa; Arthropoda; Arachnida; Ixodida; Ixodidae. The record is from the annotation of a RefSeq genome assembly.
GCCGUGAUAGCUCAGUGGUAGAGCAUCGAACGCUUAAUUCGGAGGUCGUAAGUUCGAUUCCUGCUCACGGGA